This 468-nucleotide ribosomal RNA is filed under the name uncultured bacterium. RNAcentral describes it as "partial 16S ribosomal RNA". It matches the Rfam family "Bacterial small subunit ribosomal RNA", at positions 28 to 507 of the family's 1533-position model. The record is from RNAcentral.
GACGAACGCUGGCGGCGUGCUUAACACAUGCAAGUCGAACGGAAAGGCCCUGCUUUUGUGGGGUGCUCGAGUGGCGAACGGGUGAGUAACACGUGAGUAACCUGCCCUUGACUUUGGGAUAACUUCAGGAAACUGGGGCUAAUACCGGAUAGGAGCUCCUGCUGCAUGGUGGGGGUUGGAAAGUUUCGGCGGUUGGGGAUGGACUCGCGGCUUAUCAGCUUGUUGGUGGGGUAGUGGCUUACCAAGGCUUUGAUGGGUAGCCGGCCUGAGAGGGUGACCGGCCACAUUGGGACUGAGAUACGGCCCAGACUCCUACGGGAGGCAGCAGUGGGGAAUAUUGCACAAUGGGCGGAGGCCUGAUGCAGCAACGCCGCGUGCGGGAUGACGGCCUUCGGGUUGUAAACCGCUUUCGCCUGUGACGAAGCGUGAGUGACGGUAAUGGGUAAAGAAGCACCGGCUAACUACGUG